AGGACAAUGUGGUGUUGAGGCGUGCACCUGGGGCACGCGUGCCCACCCGAAGUCCAACUCCGAUUGUGGCUUGGAUUUUGCCCAGAGCGGGUGUAAGGCCCGUACGGGUGGGCGGUUGAUCGCGAGCGCGGCCCUCAGAUGUGCAUGCUUUCGAGUCGGAUUGCUUGAGAAUGCAGUCCAAAGUGGGUGGUAAACUCCAUCCAAGGCUAAAUACUGGCACGAGUCCGAUAGUAGACAAGUACCGUGAGGGAAAGUUGAAAAGUACUCUGAAGAGAGAGUAAAUAGUACGUGAAACCGAUUGCAGGGAAGCUGGUGGAGUCAAGCUUCAUGCUUGGAGAAUUCUCGCUCGGGGCUUUGCUGUGUUUUGGGCAUGGUACCGGUUAGCUUGGAAAGAGUUGGGCACACUCGUGUGCUUCAAGUCGGCCCGGGCGUGGUUGAUUGAGCCGGUGCUAAUGCUCUGUCCUGAGCGAUCUAUUCUCCGCGGCAUAGAUCACGGUCGAUAGUGUUUUGUGAAACGUGCUGUCCGACUGUCUAACUGUGCUUUGGUGGGCCCUUGGCUUGCCGGGUGCAGGAUGGCAGGUGGCGGUUGUGGGCCUCGUGCUCUCGACUGCUCAAGCUGGUCUCGACCGGCUGAUGGUCGGACAGUGUCGUCGCUAUCGCAGAUGUGUGGUGUGCAGUCCUCGGACCGCGCACCGCUCAGAACCGUGAUUCUGAGGUAGACUUUCC
RNAcentral lists this ribosomal RNA (726 nucleotides) under Ligophorus cephali. RNAcentral's name for it is "partial large subunit ribosomal RNA". It matches the Rfam family "Eukaryotic large subunit ribosomal RNA", at positions 137 to 628 of the family's 3401-position model. The record is from RNAcentral. Lineage: Eukaryota; Metazoa; Platyhelminthes; Monogenea; Dactylogyridea; Ancyrocephalidae.